GGGGGUGCUAUACUGCAGUCGAGCGGACAGAUGGGAGCUUGCUCCCUGAUGUUAGCGGCGGACGGGUGAGUAACACGUGGGUAACCUGCCUGUAAGACUGGGAUAACUCCGGGAAACCGGGGCUAAUACCGGAUGCUUGUUUGAACCGCAUGGUUCAAACAUAAAAGGUGGCUUCGGCUACCACUUACAGAUGGACCCGCGGCGCAUUAGCUAGUUGGUGAGGUAAUGGCUCACCAAGGCAACGAUGCGUAGCCGACCUGAGAGGGUGAUCGGCCACACUGGGACUGAGACACGGCCCAGACUCCUACGGGAGGCAGCAGUAGGGAAUCUUCCGCAAUGGACGAAAGUCUGACGGAGCAACGCCGCGUGAGUGAUGAAGGUUUUCGGAUCGUAAAGCUCUGUUGUUAGGGAAGAACAAGUACCGUUCGAAUAGGGCGGUACCUUGACGGUACCUAACCAGAAAGCCACGGCUAACUACGUGCCAGCAGCCGCGGUAAUACGUAGGUGGCAAGCGUUGUCCGGAAUUAUUGGGCGUAAAGGGCUCGCAGGCGGUUUCUUAAGUCUGAUGUGAAAGCCCCCGGCUCAACCGGGGAGGGUCAUUGGAAACUGGGGAACUUGAGUGCAGAAGAGGAGAGUGGAAUUCCACGUGUAGCGGUGAAAUGCGUAGAGAUGUGGAGGAACACCAGUGGCGAAGGCGACUCUCUGGUCUGUAACUGACGCUGAGGAGCGAAAGCGUGGGGAGCGAACAGGAUUAGAUACCCUGGUAGUCCACGCCGUAAACGAUGAGUGCUAAGUGUUAGGGGGUUUCCGCCCCUUAGUGCUGCAGCUAACGCAUUAAGCACUCCGCCUGGGGAGUACGGUCGCAAGACUGAAACUCAAAGGAAUUGA
This 888-nucleotide ribosomal RNA is filed under the name Bacillus subtilis. Its description in RNAcentral is "bacterial SSU rRNA". It matches the Rfam family "Bacterial small subunit ribosomal RNA", at positions 41 to 913 of the family's 1533-position model. Lineage: Bacteria; Bacillati; Bacillota; Bacilli; Caryophanales; Bacillaceae. The record is from RNAcentral.